RNAcentral lists this ribosomal RNA (496 nucleotides) under uncultured Sphingobacterium sp. RNAcentral describes it as "partial 16S ribosomal RNA". The record is from RNAcentral. Lineage: Bacteria; Pseudomonadati; Bacteroidota; Sphingobacteriia; Sphingobacteriales; Sphingobacteriaceae.
CACGGAGUUAGCCGAUCCUUAUUCUUUAGGUACAUUCAGCUCCUUGCACGUAAGAAGGUUUAUUCCCUAACAAAAGCAGUUUACAACCCAUAGGGCAGUCAUCCUGCACGCGGCAUGGCUGGUUCAGGCUUGCGCCCAUUGACCAAUAUUCCUUACUGCUGCCUCCCGUAGGAGUCUGGUCCGUGUCUCAGUACCAGUGUGGGGGAUUCUCCUCUCAGAGCCCCUAGACAUCGUCGCCUUGGUAAGCCGUUACCUUACCAACUAGCUAAUGUCACGCGAGCCCAUCCAUAUCCUAUAAAUAUUUAAAUGUGAUAACAUGUGUUACUACAUUGUUAUGCGGUGUUAAUCCGAAUUUCUUCGGGCUAUCCCCCUGAUAUGGGUAAGUUGCUCACGCGUUACGCACCCGUGCGCCACUCUCAAAUCGGGUAGCAAGCUACCCUCAGAUCCCGUUCGACUUGCAUGUAUUAGGCCUGCCGCUAGCGUUCAUCCUGAGCCA